AAUCAGCCGUCUCGCGAAUGCCNUAGAUUAGUUGAUCAUGGCUCAGAACACGCUGUCGGCGUGCCUAACACAUGCAAGUCGAACGCGAAAGUCCCGCAAGGGAUAAGUAGAGUGGCAAACGGGUGAGUAACGCGUGGGUGACCUACCUUCGAGCGGGGGAUAACGUCCCGAAAGGGACGCUAAUACCGCAUAACAUCCUGCCUUUGAAGAGGUGGAGAUCAAAGCUGGGGAUUCGCAAGAACCCGGCACUUGAAGAGGGGCCCGCGUCUGAUUAGCUAGUUGGUGAGGUAACGGCUUACCAAGGCAACGAUCAGUAGCCGGCCUGAGAGGGCGGACGGCCACACUGGGACUGAGACACGGCCCAGACUCCUACGGGAGGCAGCAGUGGGGAAUUGUUCGCAAUGGGCGCAAGCCUGACGACGCAACGCCGCGUGGAGGAUGAAGAUCUUCGGGUCGUAAACUCCUGUCGAACGGGACGAAAGAAUCGCGGGUUAACAGCCCGUGGUAGUGACGGUACCGUUAGAGGAAACCCCGGCUAACUCCGUGCCAGCAGCCGCGAUAAUACAGCGAGGGGGGGGUAAAGCNGUUGUACGGGAACAUUACUGAGGCGUACAAGAGGCCUCGUUAAAGCGGGCCCAACUAAGUCAGACGUGGAAAUCCCUUCCAGAGUUUUAACUUGGGGAAACUAGCGUUUUGAUAACUGGAUGGCUUUGGAAUUCCGGAAAAGGACUGCGGAUUUCCCAAGGUGGUAGCAGNUGGAAAUCUCANUAGACUAUCNUGGAAGAACCACCGGUUGCNAAGCNGCAUUCUUGGACCGAANUUACCCUAAGACA
RNAcentral lists this ribosomal RNA (833 nucleotides) under uncultured bacterium. RNAcentral describes it as "bacterial SSU rRNA". It matches the Rfam family "Bacterial small subunit ribosomal RNA", at positions 1 to 754 of the family's 1533-position model. The record is from RNAcentral.